AUUGGUNNUGGGCGCAGCCUGAACCAGCCAUNCCGCGUGCAGGAUGAAGGCCUUCUGGGUUGUAAACUUCUUUUAUCUGGGAAGAAAAGCAUUGUAUCUACGAUGUCCGACGGUACCAGAGGAAUAAGCACCGGCUAACUCCGUGCCAGCAGCCGCGGUAAUACGGAGGGUGCAAGCGUUAUCCGGAUUUACUGGGUUUAAAGGGUGUGUAGGCGGGCAUUUAAGUCAGCGGUGAAAUCUCCGGGCUCAACCUGGAAACUGCCAUUGAUACUAUUUGUCUUGAAUUUUGUUGAGGUUGGCGGAAUAUGUCAUGUAGCGGUGAAAUGCAUAGAUAUGACAUAGAACUCCGAUUGCGAAGGCAGCUAACUAAGCAAAUAUUGACGCUGAGGCACGAAAGCGUGGGGAUCAAACAGGAUUAGAUACCCUGGUAGUCCACGCCCUAAACGAUGAUUACUCGACAUACGCGAUACACAGUGUGUGUCUGAGCGAAAGCAUUAAGUAAUCCACCUGGGAAGUACGACCGCAAGGUUGAAACUCAAAGAAAUUGACGGA
This 552-nucleotide ribosomal RNA is filed under the name uncultured bacterium. Its description in RNAcentral is "bacterial SSU rRNA". It matches the Rfam family "Bacterial small subunit ribosomal RNA", at positions 363 to 917 of the family's 1533-position model. The record is from RNAcentral.